UACUGGAAUCACUCUGAUAUC
Molecule: non-coding RNA, 21 nt
Filed under: Caenorhabditis elegans
Lineage: Eukaryota; Metazoa; Nematoda; Chromadorea; Rhabditida; Rhabditidae
Source: RNAcentral